CCAGCGACUUGAGGCCAGUCUUCGCCAGGACCUUGAAGAACCAUGAGUUCUUUUGGUGGAUUUGGUGCUCCCUGAGAACUUGUGUCAGCACACCAAAACCUCAAAGGGAUGCCUCAGUAUCAAGAGGGAGCAGCAGCUUCCUCAGGCCACUCAGGUCCCCUCUCCAGAAGAUGAACCAGGAGAGGAGAGAUGGCCCUGACAUGUCCCCUGACUGUCACCAUCUCCAGUUUGCAGCAGA
RNAcentral lists this long non-coding RNA (238 nucleotides) under Rattus norvegicus (Norway rat). RNAcentral describes it as "long non-coding RNA NONRATT032331". Lineage: Eukaryota; Metazoa; Chordata; Mammalia; Rodentia; Muridae. The record is from RNAcentral.